Molecule: non-coding RNA, 24 nt
Filed under: Mus musculus (house mouse)
Lineage: Eukaryota; Metazoa; Chordata; Mammalia; Rodentia; Muridae
Source: RNAcentral
UGGAAGCACGCACAAACCGCCUCC